RNAcentral lists this non-coding RNA (21 nucleotides) under Caenorhabditis elegans. Lineage: Eukaryota; Metazoa; Nematoda; Chromadorea; Rhabditida; Rhabditidae. The record is from RNAcentral.
UCUACAGAACACUAUGGCGAG